GACGAACGCUGGCGGCGUGCUUAGCACAUGCAAGUCGAGCGGUAAGGCCCUUUCGGGGGUACACGAGCGGCGAACGGGUGAGUAACACGUGGGUGACCUGCCCUUAGCUCUGGGAUAAGCCUGGGAAACUGGGUCUAAUACCGGAUAUGACUCCAUGACGCAUGUUGUGGGGUGGAAAGCCUUGUGCGGCUAGGGAUGGGCCCGCGGCCUAUCAGCUUGUUGGUGGGGUGANGGCCUACCAAGGCGACGACGGGUAGCCGGCCUGAGAGGGCGACCGGCCACACUGGGACUGAGACACGGCCCAGACUCCUACGGGAGGCAGCAGUGGGGAAUCUUGCGCAAUGGGCGAAAGCCUGACGCAGCGACGCCGCGUGGGGAUGACGGCCU
Molecule: ribosomal RNA, 387 nt
Filed under: uncultured bacterium
Lineage: Bacteria
Description: bacterial SSU rRNA
Rfam family: Bacterial small subunit ribosomal RNA
Source: RNAcentral